Molecule: ribosomal RNA, 496 nt
Filed under: Hepatozoon canis
Lineage: Eukaryota; Apicomplexa; Hepatozoidae
Description: SSU rRNA
Rfam family: Eukaryotic small subunit ribosomal RNA
Source: RNAcentral
GGGGGGCCAGGGAAGCAAAUUUACCCCAAUUUCUAACCAGUUUGGAGAGGAAGGUAAGGUAACAAGAAAUAACAAUACAAGGCAGUUAAAAUGCUUUGUAAUUGGAAUGAUAGAAAUUUAAACCCUUUUUAAAGUAUCAAUUGGAGGGCAAGUCUGGUGCCAGCAGCCGCGGUAAUUCCAGCUCCAAUAGCGUAUAUUAAAAUUGUUGCAGUUAAAAAGCUCGUAGUUGAAGUUCUGCUGAAAGUAACCGGUCUGCUUUUAAUAAAAGUGGUAUCUUGGUAUGUAUUUAGCAAUGAUGUCCUUUGAAGUGUUUUUUACUUUAUUGUAAUAAAGCAUAUUCAGGACUUUUACUUUGAGAAAAUUAGAGUGUUUCUAGCAGGCUAACGCUUUGAAUACUGCAGCAUGGAAUAAUAAGAUAGGAUUUUAGUUCUACAUUAUUGGUUUUAAGAGCUAAAUUAAUGAUUGAUAGGGACAGUUGGGGGCAUUCGUAUUUAAA